This is a microRNA precursor of Brassica oleracea var. oleracea, 125 nucleotides long. It matches the Rfam family "MIR9563 microRNA precursor family". The record is from Rfam. Lineage: Eukaryota; Viridiplantae; Streptophyta; Magnoliopsida; Brassicales; Brassicaceae.
GGAAUAUAAGAACUCGUCUCUUAACUUUUAACUAAAAAAAUUGAGAACCGGUUCUUAAAUAAGAGUUUUAAGAGUCGGUUCUUAACUUUUUUAGUUAAAAGUUAAGAGACGGGUUCUUAUAUUCC